Molecule: long non-coding RNA, 221 nt
Filed under: Ictidomys tridecemlineatus (thirteen-lined ground squirrel)
Lineage: Eukaryota; Metazoa; Chordata; Mammalia; Rodentia; Sciuridae
Description: lncRNA (ENSSTOG00000034600.1)
Source: RNAcentral
AGGCCACUUGGUAGAGGCUUCAGAGAUCUGACACCCUGAGAACCAUCCCAACAGGCGAGGAGCAAAGCCCUUCCAAGCAGAGUUCAAGUAACCGCUUUGGAAUUCGUACCAAGGUGCCAGACAACAUAGUUGACACACAUUACGAUCCUCUUUAAUCUUCAUAACCCCUGGAGGUGAGCACUGUUUUAUCUUCAUUUAGAGAGGAGCAAAGGAAGCUCGGG